UGCUUCUGCCUAUCCCUGAACCUC
Molecule: non-coding RNA, 24 nt
Filed under: Rattus norvegicus (Norway rat)
Lineage: Eukaryota; Metazoa; Chordata; Mammalia; Rodentia; Muridae
Source: RNAcentral